AUGAAGACAACCCGGAGCCAUAAAGGGAAAACUUCGGAUUUGGAAGUGGGUCGAUUUGGACCCAGGAGCCCAGGCCAGCUGCAGAUUCGGGCGGGGCCGCAAUCCUCGGGUCACCGGCGGCGUUUCUCUGCUGGCUCCUCGUCACUGCCGCCGUCCAGGGGCUCCAGCGGUCGAUGGGGAUGGGAGGUCCUCGGUAGACACUUGCUCCCCGGGGCCGCGCGAGGCCUUGACAGAUUUCGGGCGUGCAGGGGCGGAGAGGAGCCUCCUGCGUCUCCGAGGCGAGCGACCUAUUCCCGCCCGCGGGCUCGUGGGGCGCGGAGGGGCUGGAGCUCGGCCGCCGGAGAAAGGAAGCCCCCGGGAGCGAGGCCUGGCUUUCGCGGCUUUGAAAACUUUCCAGCGCGCGUGCCACGGCGACGCGCAGCGGCUGCGCCGGGGCCCCGGCGGCCCGCGCCUCCCGCGGGCAACUUUUCGGCCUUUCGGUGGCCUGUCACUCUCGCCGGCCGACGCGCCUCCCCCUGGGCUCGCGCGGCCGGAGCGCCCUCCCUCUCGGCGAGGAUCUGCCCCAGCGCCGGCGGCUCCAGUGCCCGCUCGGCGCUCGCCCUGCCCGCGCCCCCCGCCGCCCGGCUGCCCCGCGCCUCGCUCGCAACCUGGCCCGGCCGCGCCCCGCGCCCUGAGCGCCGCGAGCCCCGGGCGGCCCCUGCAGCGGGGGGCGGGGAACGGAGGAGGGGACCCGCCGCCGGGGGCCGGCUGCUGGCUCCCGGCCGACCGUUCGCCAAUGGUCCAGAGCGACCUGUCCAAGUCGCCUCCCACAGCGGCGGCGGCGGUGGCGCAAGAGAUCCCGAUGGACCUGCCGGAGAACGCGGCUCCCGCGGGGGCGCUCGGAGCGGCCGCACAGGUAGCGAGAUCGCCGCGCCCGCCCCUUUCUUUGUGAGCCGCCCGGGCGCCGAGCUCCGUCUCUCCUGGCGCCGCCUCUGCCCGGAUCCCUCGCCCGGCCGCUCGCUCCGGCCUGGGUCUCCCCCUCCGCCGCCUUCUCCUCCCCCCGCGCGUGGCCACCCCCUUCUCCCCUGCGGGCGCCGGCGCCCCUGCCCCUCUCCGCCUCCCGUUCCCCCCGCCCCCCCCACCCCCCGCGCCACGGGCUCUUCUCCGGCUUCCAUUUUCCUCGGCUUCCCCGAAGCCCGAGGGAGGGAAGGGGCGGGGGAGACCUCGGGGUCCUCGGAGGCUGCCGCGGCCAGCCCUCGUCGCCCCUUCCCGGGAGAGGCACAUGGAGAGCCAUGGACCAGGCGAGCGGACUGGACCUGCUCAAGAUCUCAUAUGGAAAAGGAGCCAGAAGGAAAAACAGAUUUAAAGGAUCCGAUGGGAGCACUUCUUCUGACACUACCUCAAAUAGUUUCGUUCGCCAGCACAGACAAACGAUGAUCCGCCUCCAGCCAUCCGUUCCCUCCUUGCAACAUCAAGGGCGCCAACG
This 1465-nucleotide long non-coding RNA is filed under the name Delphinapterus leucas (beluga whale). Its description in RNAcentral is "lncRNA (ENSDLEG00000004843.1)". The record is from RNAcentral. Lineage: Eukaryota; Metazoa; Chordata; Mammalia; Artiodactyla; Monodontidae.